This 497-nucleotide ribosomal RNA is filed under the name uncultured bacterium. RNAcentral's name for it is "partial 16S ribosomal RNA". It matches the Rfam family "Bacterial small subunit ribosomal RNA", at positions 28 to 507 of the family's 1533-position model. The record is from RNAcentral.
GAUGAACGCUGGCGGCGUGCCUAAUACAUGCAAGUCGAGCGAACAGACGAGGAGCUUGCUCCUCUGACGUUAGCGGCGGACGGGUGAGUAACACGUGGAUAACCUACCUAUAAGACUGGGAUAACUUCGGGAAACCGGAGCUAAUACCGGAUAAUAUAUUGAACCGCAUGGUUCAAUAGUGAAAGACGGUUUUGCUGUCACUUAUAGAUGGAUCCGCGCCGCAUUAGCUAGUUGGUAAGGUAACGGCUUACCAAGGCGACGAUGCGUAGCCGACCUGAGAGGGUGAUCGGCCACACUGGAACUGAGACACGGUCCAGACUCCUACGGGAGGCAGCAGUAGGGAAUCUUCCGCAAUGGGCGAAAGCCUGACGGAGCAACGCCGCGUGAGUGAUGAAGGUCUUCGGAUCGUAAAACUCUAUUAUUAGGGAAGAACAAAUGUGUAAGUAACUAUGCACGUCUUGACGGUACCUAAUCAGAAAGCCACGGCUAACUACGUG